RNAcentral lists this ribosomal RNA (253 nucleotides) under uncultured bacterium. RNAcentral describes it as "partial 16S ribosomal RNA". It matches the Rfam family "Bacterial small subunit ribosomal RNA", at positions 524 to 776 of the family's 1533-position model. The record is from RNAcentral.
UACGUAGGGUGCAAGCGUUGUCCGGAAUUAUUGGGCGUAAAGAGCUCGUAGGCGGUUUGUCGCGUCUGCUGUGAAAACUCGGGGCUUAACCCCGAGCCUGCAGUGGAUACGGGCAGACUAGAGGUAGGUAGGGGAGAAUGGAAUUCCCGGUGUAGCGGUGAAAUGCGCAGAUAUCGGGAGGAACACCAGUGGCGAAGGCGACUACCUGGCCUGUUCUUGACGCUGAGGCGCGAAAGCUAGGGGAGCAAACGGG